Molecule: long non-coding RNA, 2142 nt
Filed under: Lotus japonicus
Lineage: Eukaryota; Viridiplantae; Streptophyta; Magnoliopsida; Fabales; Fabaceae
Description: long non-coding RNA (LJAP_LNC000137)
Source: RNAcentral
ACACGAUCAAAUAAUCUUAUAUUGAUGCCAUAUUAUGUUAGUGGUACAUCAAAAUUAAAUCCAAUAUAUAAUUAGUCAAAGUCUAUCAUCUAUUCAUUGAAAAAAAGUUACCAAAACUAAAAUUGGGCAACGAAAACAUGCUCAUUCACUCAUCAAAUCGGAAAUAUUAAGCAAGCAAACUCAAUUCUAUUAGAUAAAAAAUACACCAAACAAAAAACUGAAAAAUUUAGAACUCAACCUUGCUUCAAAAGGUUAAUGUCAGAGAUCACUGUAAAACAGACUAUCAUCUAAAUAGAAAUUGACUUCAGUGAAGCCAAGUAUAACCUUACUACCUUAGAUAAUGCCAAUCUUGUUUGCUACAUCCAAGGCAUCAUAGUCUGGAGUCAACCGAACAUAGGCCUUCUUGGUGCCAUCAGGCCUGCAACAGAACAGAAUACCCUAAUUUAGAAGAACUAAUAGAUGUUUAUGCAACUAUGCAUUCAAGUUUUUCAUACAAGUAGUAGCAUCACUUUCAUGUUAUUGUUAAUUAGGGUUUAUACUAAAUAAUUUUAUGCUGCUGGAGACGCACAGCAUGAGCCAUUUAUCACAAAUGUGGACCAUAAAAAAAACCAGAAUCCAGUAUCCUCCAAUCAUGAUAAAAGCUUGGAAGGCAAAUUGCAAUAUCAAUUUUUUUGUUAGUAGACCAUGGUGAAUUAGUCAUUAUAAGCAAUCAUGAGUUAAAACUUAAGAUAAUUCCUAAGAGAGUCACUAGUACAUAAGCUAUAAAGGCUCACCUGAUCAAGGUGUUCACUUUCUUAGCUUGGAUGUCAUACAUUUUCUUCACUGCAGCCUUGAUCUUCUUCUUGUCAGCACGCAAGUCAACAAUGAAAACCAAAGUGUUGUUGUCUUCAAUCUUCUUCAUGGCCGACUCAGUGGUGAGGGGGAAUUUCAGAAUCUGAUAGUGAUCAANNNNNNNNNNNNNNNAUUUUCUUUCACAAAACAAAGGAUAGAGGAAGAUAAACAUUGUUGCAAUUCAAACCAUCGAUUUGAGUCCUAAAUCCCAACAGACCAACAAAAAUAAAUUUUCACCAAGCAUUUGAGGAUAAAUAUCAACUUGGAAAGAAAGAAAAAAAUCAACUUGGAAACUUCGAACUGAAAGUUAGUUUGGAGUAGGAGAAAUCCAAUUGAAACCUACUUGAAUUUGUCAGCGUUGGUUCAUGAUUGCAUGCACCCUUUCUUGAAUUCAAAACAUGGUUUUUCAUGUUUGCUUGAUCGGAUGAGUACAUUAGUAAUUCACUAAUUCUAGUUACAAAUACACAUAGGUUUGGGAACACCACUGGCACUAAGCAUAAUCAUGUCCAAUUCACAUAAUUUCACAAUAACUAACGACAAAGAACCAUAAUGCACAUUCCACUUUCAUCAAUAUGCAUAACGAGUACUUAACAACAUACAUCCUUCAAUUAUCUAUGAUCAUUUAACCUUGGGUAAAUUAUCUUUUCUUGAUGGUUAAAAUGCACAGUACCAUACAUCGUGUAAAUCGAAAAACAAUUCCAAAGCUCUAUUAAUUUUCAGCCAUUCGAGAAUAUGUAGUAAGACUAUCAUGGUAUACAUAUUGUUAAUAUUAAAAAUUAUUUCAUAUUUGAUAACUCGUUCACAAAACCACAUGUUCAAGGUUCUCUGGAAUGUGUGAAAUACCCACGACACCUAUCACAUGUUUAAGGCUCUCAGUAUAAAAUUUCUUUACACGAUCAAAUAAUCUUAUAUUGAUGCCAUAUUAUGUUAGUGGUACAUCAAAAUUAAAUCCAAUAUAUAAUUAGUCAAAGUCUAUCAUCUAUUCAUUGAAAAAAAGUUACCAAAACUAAAAUUGGGCAACGAAAACAUGCUCAUUCACUCAUCAAAUCGGAAAUAUUAAGCAAGCAAACUCAAUUCUAUUAGAUAAAAAAUACACCAAACAAAAAACUGAAAAAUUUAGAACUCAACCUUGCUUCAAAAGGUUAAUGUCAGAGAUCACUGUAAAACAGACUAUCAUCUAAAUAGAAAUUGACUUCAGUGAAGCCAAGUAUAACCUUACUACCUUAGAUAAUGCCAAUCUUGUUUGCUACAUCCAAGGCAUCAUAGUCUGGAGUCAACCGAACAUAGGCCUUCUUGGUGCCAUCAGGCCUG